CCUACGGGAGGCUGCAGUGGGGAAUAUUGGACAAUGGGCGAAAGCCUGAUCCAGCCAUGCCGCGUGUGUGAAGAAGGCCUUCGGGUUGUAAAGCACUUUCAGUGGGGAAGAAAGCCUUGGGGCUAAUACCCUCGAGGAAGGACAUCACCCACAGAAGAAGCACCGGCUAACUCCGUGCCAGCAGCCACGGUAAUACGGAGGGUGCGAGCGUUAAUCGGAAUUACUGGGCGUAAAGCGCGCGUAGGCGGUCUGAUAAGCCGGUUGUGAAAGCCCCGGGCUCAACCUGGGAACGGCAUCCGGAACUGUCAGGCUAGAGUGCAGGAGAGGAAGGUAGAAUUCCCGGUGUAGCGGUGAAAUGCGUAGAGAUCGGGAGGAAUACCAGUGGCGAAGGCGGCCUUCUGGACUGAAACUGACGCUGAGGUGCGAAAGCGUGGGUAGCAAACAGGAUUAGAUACCCGAGUAGUC
RNAcentral lists this ribosomal RNA (465 nucleotides) under Vreelandella stevensii. RNAcentral's name for it is "partial 16S ribosomal RNA". It matches the Rfam family "Bacterial small subunit ribosomal RNA", at positions 338 to 795 of the family's 1533-position model. Lineage: Bacteria; Pseudomonadati; Pseudomonadota; Gammaproteobacteria; Oceanospirillales; Halomonadaceae. The record is from RNAcentral.